RNAcentral lists this ribosomal RNA (467 nucleotides) under uncultured bacterium. Its description in RNAcentral is "bacterial SSU rRNA". It matches the Rfam family "Bacterial small subunit ribosomal RNA", at positions 355 to 825 of the family's 1533-position model. The record is from RNAcentral.
UAGGGAAUAUUGGACAAUGGGUGAGAGCCUGAUCCAGCCAUGCCGCGUGCAGGAAGAAGGCGUUAUGCGUUGUAAACUGCUUUUUGCCAGGGGAUAAAAUGACCGUGCGCGGUUAAUUGAAGGUACCUGGUGAAUAAGCCACGGCUAACUACGUGCCAGCAGCCGCGGUAAUACGUAGGUGGCAAGCGUUGUCCGGAUUUAUUGGGUUUAAAGGGUGCGUAGGUGGCCCUGUAAGUCAGUGGUGAAAUAUCUCAGCUUAACUGAGAGGGUGCCAUUGAUACUGCAGGGCUUGAGUACAGAUGAGGUAGGCGGAAUUGACGGUGUAGCGGUGAAAUGCAUAGAUAUUGUCAAGAACACCGAUAGCGAAGGCAGCUUACCAAGCUGUAACUGACACUGAGGCACGAAAGUGUGGGGAUCAAACAGGAUUAGAUACCCCCGUAGUCCCUGAGCGGGCUGGCAAGGCGCAU